Molecule: long non-coding RNA, 2018 nt
Organism: Anguilla anguilla (European eel)
Lineage: Eukaryota; Metazoa; Chordata; Actinopteri; Anguilliformes; Anguillidae
Exons: 3
Source: RefSeq, a predicted model, not a curated record
UGUUAGCACAGGAAGAGAACACGAUCGGCUCAUCGGGCCGCUUCCUCUGCCUGCCAAAAACUGUCCCAAAAUGGUCCUCGCAAUAACAAGGCAUCGCAAGCGUAAAAGAGGGGGGAUUUUUGCACAGAUUCCCGGUGCAGGAGCACGACAGUAUGCAUUGGAUGACGGAAUCCGGAGUGCUCUGCACACACCCAUUUUCCUGUGGGUGGGUUUGGCUCCCAAUCAAGAUUCCUUCUGCAAUGUAAACAGCUGGGACCGCCCUGGUCACGGUGAAGGAUGGAGAACUCUCCAGCUGUGAAAUGGAUUUGUCCAGCCUGGGCCGGAAUUACGCCUCAGCCUCCAGCCAAUUACAUUUGGCCAUCUCCACGGGCCAGCGCACACCGCUGCGCCUUGAGCUCCCUGGGCCGCCCCCCGUGCUCCUGUGUGAAGUCAUCAAGGCCUCACCUGUUCCUGUGUGUAUGUGUGUGUGUGUGUGGGGGGGGGGGCGGUGGAGGUUCAGCACCCUCACCAUGUCAUUCACAGUUCCCACUGCAUUUUCACAGGCCGUGGUGUUUGAUUCCCCCCCCCCCCCAUGCCACCGAUGUACCCACCAAAACGGCGAGUGAUAUGCGGCGGUUGACCGGCUGGCUGCACACUUUUCAGAGGGGGGCGUUGCGUGCUAGUUCGCUCCGGCUCCCAAAGCCCCAGAACAGUAAGGUGCAACCCCAGUCCCUGCAGUACGUGGACUGGCCAUCCACAAUGCCAAGGGUUCAUAGUUCAUUGUGGUAUGUGUCAACAUUCUACACUCUGCAUCCUGAAGCCAACCAUGCGUAUGUAUGUUUUUGUCUUGCCGGCGCAAGCUAUUUAUGCAAGAUGGCCGAAUCACGAAAUCUGACCUGCACUCGAGUAAACCCACUGGAGCCCUGCGGGCAGCCGUUCAGACUUCAACAAGACCGUGAUUGUGUCAUUGCGGACACAGCGGUCUUUGCAUUGGGUAGUUUAAAGUCAACAAUGGAUGAUUUCUGUGGCAGGGCAAGAGGAGGUCAAGGCUGAACUUACAGCUUCUCUCACAAGUCAGGAGCUCCCAGGUUUUCCCUAAAAACAGCCAUCACAUUUUCCAGUAACCAGUAACAUUCUGGUUUAAAACUUACUUGAAUGCUAUUCUCUGAGCAUAAAUCAAAUAAUAAAUUGUACAAUAUGAAACUAGGUUAUUUCAUAAAUAUUUUUUUUACUUCUAAUGUGAAUAAAAAUUUUUUAUCAGCCAACCAAAAGACUGCUGAAAAGGGACUUGUUCAAGGGAGGCAGACACCACAUGAUAGCUCCACUCAUUUUGAGGUUUGUGAAGCCUCACAUGCCCAUCACUAGCUGUUUGUCUCCUGGGAGACACUGACAAUAGGACACACCUUCCAGGGCAAUGUGAAGACGAGUGUUAUAUCAGUAUUAGAGUCUCUUGUCAGUCUUGUGUGAAUUCAGGAGACAAAGAAAAAAUAUGAAUAAAAGUUACAGUCCAUGCCAGCCAACAAUAAUAAGACUUGUUCAUGUAUUGUUACCCCCUCAUCCCACCCCUAUUGAGACCUCCCUCAAUUGCAGGUCCAAGGACACUGUGUCAUUAUAAUAAGCUGCAGCAUCUGCUUCACACAAUGCUGAGACUUCAUGGUAGGUAAUUGGACCUUUACAUCUUCUGAGCCCAAGCAAUCCCACAAUUCAACAAGUACAAAUCACAAGGCUUUCGGGCGAGAUGGGGUGGGGUGAUCAGCCCAUGCUGAUUUAGUCUUUAGACUCAAAUCUGUCUAGGGCCACUAAGAUAUAGAAGAAAACAAACGACAACAAAAAAAUAAUCCUGUGACCUUGGUCAGCUCCAGCAAUGAGAGGGCAACUGAUGCUCUAACAUCAUAACCCCCAGCCCCACCCAACCUUCAGGACGGGUGGAGCCGUGGUUCUCACAAGGAGCUGAUGUGGGCUUUUACCACCGGAAAACCACAGAGGACAGUGGCCUUCAACCUGGCUGAGGAGCAUUCUCCCAUUCAUCUCCAUCUUCC